AGUGAACGCUGGCGGUAGGCCUAACACAUGCAAGUCGAACGGCAGCACAGUAAGAGCUUGCUCUUACGGGUGGCGAGUGGCGGACGGGUGAGGAAUACAUCGGAAUCUACUUUUUCGUGGGGGAUAACGUAGGGAAACUUACGCUAAUACCGCAUACGACCUACGGGUGAAAGCAGGGGAUCUUCGGACCUUGCGCGAUUGAAUGAGCCGAUGUCGGAUUAGCUAGUUGGCGGGGUAAAGGCCCACCAAGGCGACGAUCCGUAGCUGGUCUGAGAGGAUGAUUCACCACACUGGAACUGAGAAACGGUCCCAACUCCUACGGGAAGGAGGCGUGGGGAAUUUUGGACAAUUGGGCGAAGGCCGGACCAAGCAUACCGCGUGGGUGAAAGAAGGCUUCCGGUUGUUAAAGCCUUUUGUUGGGGAAGAAAAAGAAGAGGUUUAAUACCCCGCUGUCCGGCGGGUCCCAAAGGAAUAAGCACGGCUUACCUCCGU
Molecule: ribosomal RNA, 492 nt
Filed under: uncultured bacterium
Lineage: Bacteria
Description: partial 16S ribosomal RNA
Rfam family: Bacterial small subunit ribosomal RNA
Source: RNAcentral